RNAcentral lists this ribosomal RNA (253 nucleotides) under uncultured bacterium. Its description in RNAcentral is "partial 16S ribosomal RNA". It matches the Rfam family "Bacterial small subunit ribosomal RNA", at positions 524 to 776 of the family's 1533-position model. The record is from RNAcentral.
UACAGAGGUCUCAAGCGUUGUUCGGAUUCAUUGGGCGUAAAGGGUGCGUAGGCUGCGUGGUAAGUCGGAUGUGAAAUCUUGGGGCUCAACCCCAAAACUGCAUUCGAUACUGCCAUGCUCGAAGACUGAAGAGGAGAUUGGAAUUCACGGUGUAGCAGUGAAAUGCGUAGAUAUCGUGAGGAAGACCAGUGGCGAAAGCGAAUCUCUGGACAGUUCUUGACGCUGAUGCACGAAGGCCAGGGGAGCAAACGGG